AGCCACCCUCACGGCCAGGACGCAUGUGAUGGGCAUGUGAAGGAUCAUGGGCACGGGCACAAUCACCGGUUCAGUGAGGGUGACGAGGAGAGUGGAGCACGACAUGUCGCCGUUUCGCAGAUACUGGAACUUGGGGUUGUAUCCCAUUCGGUUAUUAUUGGAUUAUCACUGGGAGUUUCACAGAGCCCAUGUACCAUAAGACCCUUGAUAGCAGCGUUAUCAUUUCAUCAAUUCUUUGAAGGGUUUGCGCUUGGAGGGUGCAUCUCACAGGCACAGUUCAAGACCCUAUCAGCUACAAUAAUGGCGUGCUUUUUCGCCAUAACAACUCCUGCUGG
RNAcentral lists this unclassified non-coding RNA (335 nucleotides) under Hevea brasiliensis (rubber tree). The record is from RNAcentral. Lineage: Eukaryota; Viridiplantae; Streptophyta; Magnoliopsida; Malpighiales; Euphorbiaceae.